RNAcentral lists this ribosomal RNA (439 nucleotides) under uncultured bacterium. Its description in RNAcentral is "partial 16S ribosomal RNA". It matches the Rfam family "Bacterial small subunit ribosomal RNA", at positions 338 to 795 of the family's 1533-position model. The record is from RNAcentral.
CCUACGGGAGGCAGCAGUGGGGAAUAUUGCACAAUGGGCGAAAGCCUGAUGCAGCAACGCCGCGUGAGCGAUGAAGGCCUUCGGGUCGUAAAGCUCUGUCCUCAAAGAAGAUAAUGACGGUACUUGAGGAGGAAGCCCCGGCUACCUACGUGCCAGUAGCCGCGGUAAUACGUAGGGGGCUAGCGUUAUCCGGAAUUACUGGGCGUAAGGGGUGCGUAGGUGGUUUCUUAAGUCAGAGGUGAAAGGCUACGGCUCAACCGUAGUAAGCCUUUGAAACUGGGAAACUUGAGUGCAGGAGAGGAGAGUGGAAUUCCUAGUGUAGCGGUGAAAUGCGUAGAUAUUAGGAGGAACACCAGUUGCGAAGGCGGCUCUCUGGACUGUAACUGACACUGAGGCACGAAAGCGUGGGGAGCAAACAGGAUUAGAUACCCCAGUAGUC